CCCGUCGAUGCGCCUCUCGUGUGCUCAGUGUGCCCCCUGUGUCUCGCCCGCGCCUCCCACCAACCCACAU
RNAcentral lists this small nuclear RNA (70 nucleotides) under Goniomonas pacifica. Its description in RNAcentral is "partial Dictyostelium signal recognition particle". Lineage: Eukaryota; Cryptophyceae; Goniomonadida; Goniomonadaceae. The record is from RNAcentral.